This 468-nucleotide ribosomal RNA is filed under the name uncultured bacterium. Its description in RNAcentral is "partial 16S ribosomal RNA". It matches the Rfam family "Bacterial small subunit ribosomal RNA", at positions 28 to 507 of the family's 1533-position model. The record is from RNAcentral.
GACGAACGCUGGCGGCGUGCCUAACACAUGCAAGUAGAACGGAAAGGCCCUGCUCUCGUUCGUUGCUCGAGAGGCGACCGGGUGUGUAACUCGUGAGUAACUUGCCGUUGACCUUGGGAUAACUUCAGGAAACUGGGGCUAGUGCCUGAUAUGAGCUCCUGCUGCAUGGUGGGGGUUGGAAAGUUUCGGCGGUUGGGGAUGGACUCGCGGCUUAUCAGCUUGUUGGUGGGGCAGUGGCCUACCAAUGCUUCGACGGGUAGCCGGCAUGAGAGCGUGACCGGCCACAUUAGGAAUGAGAUGCGGCCGAGUCUGCUAGAGAAGUGAGCGGUGGUGAAGAUGACACCAUGGGCGGAGGCCUGAUGCAGCGACGCCGCGUGCGGGAUAACGUCCUUCGGGUUGUAAGCCGCUUGCGCGUGUAACGAAGCGUGAGUGACGGUAAUGGGUACAGAAACGCCGGCUAACUACGUG